AGUGAACGCUGGCGGUAGGCCUAACACAUGCAAGUCGAACGGCAGCACAGUAAGAGCUUGCUCUUACGGGUGGCGAGUGGCGGACGGGUGAGGAAUACAUCGGAAUCUACUUUUUCGUGGGGGAUAACGUAGGGAAACUUACGCUAAUACCGCAUACGACCUACGGGUGAAAGCAGGGGAUCUUCGGACCUUGCGCGAUUGAAUGAGCCGAUGUCGGAUUAGCUAGUUGGCGGGGUAAAGGCCCACCAAGGCGACGAUCCGUAGCUGGUCUGAGAGGAUGAUCAGCCAAACUGGAACUGAGAAAAGGUCCAGACUCCUAAGGGAGGCAGCAGUGGGGAAUAUUGGACAAUGGGCGGAAGCCUGAACCAGCCAUACCGCGUGGGUGAAGAAGGCCUUCGGGUUGUAAAGCCCUUUUGUUGGGAAAGAAAAGCAGCAGGUUAAUACCCCGCUGUUCUGACGGUACCCAAAGAAUAAGCACCGGCUAACUUCGUG
RNAcentral lists this ribosomal RNA (492 nucleotides) under uncultured bacterium. RNAcentral's name for it is "partial 16S ribosomal RNA". It matches the Rfam family "Bacterial small subunit ribosomal RNA", at positions 29 to 507 of the family's 1533-position model. The record is from RNAcentral.